This 53-nucleotide non-coding RNA is filed under the name Sodalis glossinidius str. 'morsitans'. Lineage: Bacteria; Pseudomonadati; Pseudomonadota; Gammaproteobacteria; Enterobacterales; Bruguierivoracaceae. The record is from RNAcentral.
CUAUAGUCAAUCCGCACCUGCAAAUUCAGGUGUCGGGUUUGAGACCCCGGUUA